UACGUAGGGUGCGAGCGUUGUCCGGAUUUAUUGGGCGUAAAGAGCUCGUAGGCGGCUUCGUUAGUCGGGUGUGAAAGCCCCAGGCUUAACCUGGGGAUGCCAUCCGAUACUGCGAUAGCUAGAGUUUGGUAGGGGAUCACGGAAUUCCUGGUGUAGCGGUGAAAUGCGCAGAUAUCAGGAGGAACACCAGUGGCGAAGGCGGUGGUCUGGGCCAAUACUGACGCUGAGGAGCGAAAGCGUGGGGAGCAAACAGG
Molecule: ribosomal RNA, 254 nt
Filed under: uncultured bacterium
Lineage: Bacteria
Description: partial 16S ribosomal RNA
Rfam family: Bacterial small subunit ribosomal RNA
Source: RNAcentral